UGUGGUUCAAUUCGACGCAACGCGAAGAACCUUACCUGGGCUCGAAAUGCAGGAGACCGGGGUAGAAAUAUCCUUUUCUCGCAAGAGACUGCUGUAUAGGUGCUGCAUGGCUGUCGUCAGCUCGUGUCGUGAGAUGUUGGGUUAAGUCCCGCAACGAGCGCAACCCUCAUCCCUAGUUGCCACCGGGUAAUGCCGAGCACUCUAGUGAAACCGCCCCGGAUAACGGGGAGGAAGGUGGGGAUGACGUCAAGUCCUCAUGGCCUUUAUGUCCAGGGCUACACACGUGCUACAAUGGUCGGUACAAACCGUCGCAAAGCUGCAAAGCCCAGCUAAUCGGAAAAAACCGGCCUCAGUUCGGAUUGGAGUCUGCAACUCGACUCCAUGAAGCUGGAAUCGCUAGUAAUCGCAGAUCAGAACGCUGCGGUGAAUACGUUCCCGGGCCUUGU
RNAcentral lists this ribosomal RNA (446 nucleotides) under uncultured archaeon. RNAcentral's name for it is "bacterial SSU rRNA". It matches the Rfam family "Bacterial small subunit ribosomal RNA", at positions 940 to 1384 of the family's 1533-position model. The record is from RNAcentral.